UACGUAGGUGGCAAGCGUUGUCCGGAUUUACUGGGCGUAAAGAGCGCGCAGGCGGUCGAAUAAGUCGAAUGUGAAAGCCCCCGGCUUAACUGGGGAGGGUCAUUCGAUACUGCUCGACUUGAAGGCAGGAGAGGGUAGUGGAAUUCCCGGUGUAGUGGUGAAAUGCGUAGAUAUCGAGAGGAACCCCUGCGGCGAAGGCGGGUAGCUGGGCCGACACUGACGCUGAGGCGCGAAAGCCAGGGGAGCGAACGGG
This 253-nucleotide ribosomal RNA is filed under the name uncultured bacterium. RNAcentral's name for it is "partial 16S ribosomal RNA". It matches the Rfam family "Bacterial small subunit ribosomal RNA", at positions 524 to 776 of the family's 1533-position model. The record is from RNAcentral.